This 187-nucleotide non-coding RNA is filed under the name pig gut metagenome. RNAcentral's name for it is "6S / SsrS RNA". It matches the Rfam family "6S / SsrS RNA". Rfam says of the family: E. coli 6S RNA was the first non coding RNA to be sequenced, but its function was unknown until recently. It consists of 184 nucleotides that fold into an extended hairpin structure with a large single-stranded internal bulge. The 6S RNA specifically associates with RNA polymerase holoenzyme containing the sigma70 specificity factor. The record is from RNAcentral.
ACCCUGCGUAGUGCGUAAAGACAGAAUUUUUAGAACCAACACACAAUAAGAGGGGCCAAUCUCUGAAUAUGGCGUGCAAACUUACACAAUUUUGUAGUAAGAAGCCCAGUAGUAUUUAGGUAGGCACCCACCUGUUUUUAGGAGCAGGUCCUUAAAAUUCAACACAUCUGACGGCUAAGGCGGGGAU